This 27-nucleotide small RNA is filed under the name Bombyx mori (domestic silkworm). Its description in RNAcentral is "ovarian small RNA-18083". The record is from RNAcentral. Lineage: Eukaryota; Metazoa; Arthropoda; Insecta; Lepidoptera; Bombycidae.
UAAACAAACAACUGUUGCAACGAAGAA